GUGUUUGCUUUGUCAGCACAUAUACUAAAUUUGGAACUAUACAGAGAGGUUUAAAAUGACUCCUCCACAAGGAUGACAUGCAAAUUCAUGAAGCGUUCCAUAUUUUU
This is a small nuclear RNA of Meriones unguiculatus (Mongolian gerbil), 107 nucleotides long. The record is from Ensembl. NCBI's taxonomy places the organism in Eukaryota, Metazoa, Chordata, Mammalia, Rodentia, Muridae.